This 405-nucleotide long non-coding RNA is filed under the name Vigna radiata. Its description in RNAcentral is "long non-coding RNA (VRAD_LNC005704)". The record is from RNAcentral. Lineage: Eukaryota; Viridiplantae; Streptophyta; Magnoliopsida; Fabales; Fabaceae.
AUAUGCGACAUUCAUUCGUGGCCUGUUAUCUUCUUUCUUCUCCUCUGCACACACGAAUCACACAACUCACAGAGAAAUCACAUAUCACAGAUACUCGCAAAACGCUAUACAACAUCAACCAUACAUUUAUGAAGAACUAACCUCUCGAAGAAGACCUAAGUCGUGAAGCACUGGCCAUCGCACACACUGUCCCACCGUCUCACCGCUGCACCGCCCAAAUGACCACCAGAGUUAAAGGGGUGGGAAAGAAUUUUGGGAUGAAAAUGUGAGACUAAGAGUUGGAGGUGCUAAUGAAAGGUUGGGCUUCGCAGUAAAAAUGGCUUAUUAGUGAAUAUGAAUAGAAAUUAAGGUUUGAAUAAAUAAAAUUAAAAAGUAAAAAAAUAAAGUUAAAAAAGUAAAAAAAAG